CCUACGGGCGGCAGCAGUCGAGAAUCAUUCACAAUGGGGGAAACCCUGAUGGUGCGACGCCGCGUGGGGGAAUGAAGGUCUUCGGAUUGUAAACCCCUGUCAUGUGGGAGCAAAUUAAAAAGAUAGUACCACAAGAGGAAGAGACGGCUCACUCUGUGCCCGCAGCCGCGGUAAUACAGAGGUCUCAAGCGUUGUUCGGAAUCACUGGGCGUAAAGCGUGCGUAGGCUGUUUCGUAAGUCGUGUGUGAAAGGCGCGGGCUCAACCCGCGGACGGCACAUGAUACUGCGAGACUAGAGUGAGGGAGGGGGAACCGGAAUUCGCGGUGUAGCAGUGAAAUGCGUAGAUAUCGAGAGGAACACUCGUGGCGAAGGCGGGUUCCUGGACAUUAACUGACGCUGAGGCACGAAGGCCAGGGGAGCGAAAGGGAUUAGAUACCCGAGUAGUC
RNAcentral lists this ribosomal RNA (446 nucleotides) under uncultured bacterium. Its description in RNAcentral is "partial 16S ribosomal RNA". It matches the Rfam family "Bacterial small subunit ribosomal RNA", at positions 338 to 795 of the family's 1533-position model. The record is from RNAcentral.